Long non-coding RNA from Peromyscus leucopus (white-footed mouse), 925 nucleotides. RefSeq lists it as uncharacterized. The transcript is spliced from 3 exons. NCBI's taxonomy places the organism in Eukaryota, Metazoa, Chordata, Mammalia, Rodentia, Cricetidae. The record is from RefSeq and is a predicted model, not a curated record.
AAGCAGGAUGUGGGCUGUUCCAGAUUGGAACAGUGAAGGAUUUGCUUGCUCUAAAAAGCCCGGAGAUGAUUAUCAGGAGGGCAUUUCUGAGCUACUGUGCCUCCGAUCUCGAAGACUGGAUUUGUUCUGUGUCGCCCAGGUGCUGUGCUGGGUUCCAGUCUCGGAGACUACUUUCGCCUGUCUCCCUCCUGUUCUCUGUGGCAUGCAUGGCUGAGGGGAAAGUGUCAAGUUCCACCAGGGCUGCUCAUUACUCUGUGUCCCAGUUCUUAGCCAAUUGAGUUCAAAUCCUGGCCCUGAAACCCUGUGUGAGGAAACUGUCUAGUCUCUUUCUGCCUCAGCUUCUUCUUCGAGUAGUGGAGGAUGGACUAAGCGAUGGAAAGCUUCCGAAGGAUGUCCGCUCAGGUUUGCUGGUGGGAAGCAAGGUUUCCAUUGACUUUACCUCAGAUCUGCCGGCUUGACUCCCAGUGACCUCACUGCGGGGCCUGGCUCUCCCGUGCCCCAUAGGACCUCAGAGACUAGAGUGAAUGUGAAUGGCUGGCAAACACAACUGGCUGGCAGAAACACCACAAGCUGCAGAGGUGCUGGGUGCCCUCUGCUUCAUCCACCUGACAGGCCCUUGCCCACACAUCUCUGAGGAGCUGAGAACACCCAUUGGCUCUUGGACCCUUUGUCUUCAAUUCACACAGCCCCAACCUUUGUGUCUACUGUGGCAACUCUUGCAACCGUACCCUAAAGGGCAUCCUUGUAGGCAACCAGAGAUCCACCUGGAUAUCCCUUGGCUUGUGGUUAGCUGACUAAUGACAUUGAUUUGUCCAACCAUCCUGAUGUCUCUGUAACUCUAAAAGGUCAUUUGGAGGGUCAAACAAAAGAAUCCGCCGGGCGGUGGUGGCGCACGCCUUUAAUCCCAGCACUCGGGAGGCAGAGC